GGGUUGUGAGGUUAAGCGACUAAGCGUACACGGUGGAUGCCCUGGCAGUCAGAGGCGAUGAAGGGCGUGCUAAUCUGCGAUAAGCGCCGGUAAGGUGAUAUGAACCGUUAUAACCGGCGAUACCCGAAUGGGGAAACCCAGUGUGACUCGUCACACUAUCAUUAACUGAAUCCAUAGGUUAAUGAGGCGAACCGGGGGAACUGAAACAUCUAAGUACCCCGAGGAAAAGAAAUCAACCGAGAUUCCCCCAGUAGCGGCGAGCGAACGGGGAGGAGCCCAGAGCCUGAAUCAGCAUAUGUGUUAGUGGAAGCGUCUGGAAAGGCGCGCGAUACAGGGUGACAGCCCCGUACACAAAAGCGCAUGUGCUGUGAGCUCGAUGAGUAGGGCGGGACACGUGGUAUCCUGUCUGAAUAUGGGGGGACCAUCCUCCAAGGCUAAAUACUCCUGACUGACCGAUAGUGAACCAGUACCGUGAGGGAAAGGCGAAAAGAACCCCGGCGAGGGGAGUGAAAAAGAACCUGAAACCGUGUACGUACAAGCAGUGGGAGCCCCACCACUAAGCCAGUGGUGAACUCCACAUACGCAUCCUUUGCUGAGGAUACGGUUAACGGAGCGAAAGCGACGUUCAACCGCAAAAGAAGCAGAGGGGGCUUAGUGGUGGGGUGACUGCGUACCUUUUGUAUAAUGGGUCAGCGACUUAUAUUCUGUAGCAAGGUUAACCGUAUAGGGGAGCCGGAGGGAAACCGAGUCUUAACCGGGCGUUAAGUUGCAGGGUAUAGACCCGAAACCCGGUGAUCUAGCCAUGGGCAGGUUGAAGGUUGGGUAACACUAACUGGAGGACCGAACCGACUAAUGUUGAAAAAUUAGCGGAUGACCUGUGGCUGGGGGUGAAAGGCCAAUCAAACCGGGAGAUAGCUGGUUCUCCCCGAAAGCUAUUUAGGUAGC
Molecule: ribosomal RNA, 945 nt
Filed under: Salmonella enterica
Lineage: Bacteria; Pseudomonadati; Pseudomonadota; Gammaproteobacteria; Enterobacterales; Enterobacteriaceae
Description: partial 23S ribosomal RNA
Rfam family: Bacterial large subunit ribosomal RNA
Source: RNAcentral